This is a non-coding RNA of Myotis davidii, 75 nucleotides long. The record is from Rfam. NCBI's taxonomy places the organism in Eukaryota, Metazoa, Chordata, Mammalia, Chiroptera, Vespertilionidae.
GGCAGUUCUAGGGUGACACACCCUGGAAUCAGGCUCCCUCCUCUCUGGUUCUGGGUGUGUCAUCCAAGAACUGCA